GUAGGUGGCAAGCGUUGUCCGGAAUUAUUGGGCGUAAAGCGCGCGCAGGCGGUCCUUUAAGUCUGAUGUGAAAGCCCACGGCUCAACCGUGGAGGGUCAUUGGAAACUGGGGGACUUGAGUGCAGAAGAGGAGAGUGGAAUUCCACGUGUAGCGGUGAAAUGCGUAGAGAUGUGGAGGAACACCAGUGGCGAAGGCGACUCUCUGGUCUGUAACUGACGCUGAGGCGCGAAAGCGUGGGGGGGAGCGAACAGGAUUAGCUACCCUGGUAGUCCACGCCGUAAACGAUGAGUGCUAAGUGUUAGAGGGUUUCCCGCCCUUUAGUGCUGCAGCUAACGCAUUAAGCACUCCGCCUGGGGAGUACGGUCGCAAGACUG
RNAcentral lists this ribosomal RNA (375 nucleotides) under uncultured organism. RNAcentral's name for it is "partial 16S ribosomal RNA". It matches the Rfam family "Bacterial small subunit ribosomal RNA", at positions 527 to 896 of the family's 1533-position model. The record is from RNAcentral.